ACUGACAUUAGCGAUUCGUUCUGCGAACCGUUGCCGACCGCGAGAUAGGAGUUCAUUCCCAGCUCGCGCAUCUGCUGCUCGCCGAUCACGCGGGUAAUAACAUUCUUGCUGUAGGUGUCAGCCAACUGGCGCGCCUGGGAAGCCAGAUAGGCGGCGUUACAGAUAUUCGGCGGCAUGUUGCCGAGAUCUUUCGC
Molecule: antisense RNA, 194 nt
Filed under: uncultured Klebsiella sp.
Lineage: Bacteria; Pseudomonadati; Pseudomonadota; Gammaproteobacteria; Enterobacterales; Enterobacteriaceae
Description: Yersinia sRNA 276
Rfam family: Yersinia sRNA 276
Source: RNAcentral